Molecule: ribosomal RNA, 1141 nt
Filed under: Candidatus Synechococcus spongiarum
Lineage: Bacteria; Bacillati; Cyanobacteriota; Cyanophyceae; Synechococcales; Synechococcaceae
Description: bacterial SSU rRNA
Rfam family: Bacterial small subunit ribosomal RNA
Source: RNAcentral
CGCAAGCCUGACGGAGCAACGCCGCGUGAGGGAUGGAGGCCUUUGGGCUGUAAACCUCUUUUCUCAAGGAAGAAGAUCUGACGGUACUUGAGGAAUAAGCCACGGCUAAUUCCGUGCCAGCAGCCGCGGUAAUACGGGAGUGGCAAGCGUUAUCCGGAAUUAUUGGGCGUAAAGCGUCCGCAGGCGGCCGUUUAAGUCUGUUGUUAAAUCGUGGAGCUCAACUCCAUCACGGCAAUGGAAACUGUUCGGCUUGAGUAUGGUAGGGGCAGAGGGAAUUUCCGGUGUAGCGGUGAAAUGCGUAGAUAUCGGGAAGAACACCAGUGGCAAAAGCGCUCUGCUGGGCCAUUACUGACGCUCAUGGACGAAAGCCAGGGGAGCGAAAGGGAUUAGAUACCCCUGUAGUCCUGGCCGUAAACGAUGAACACUAGAUGUUGGGGGAAUCGACCCCCUCGGUGUCGUAGCUAACGCGUUAAGUGUUCCGCCUGGGGAGUACGCACGCAAGUGUGAAACUCAAAGGAAUUGACGGGGGCCCGCACAAGCGGUGGAGUAUGUGGUUUAAUUCGAUGCAACGCGAAGAACCUUACCAAGGCUUGACAUCCUGCGAAUCUCCAAGAAAUUGGAGAGUGCCUUUUGGAACGCAGUGACAGGUGGUGCAUCGCUGUCGUCAGCUCGUGUCGUGAGAUGUUGGGUUAAGUCCCGCAACGAGCGCAACCCACGUUUUUAGUUGCCAGCAUUCAGUUGGGCACUCUAGAAAGACUGCCGGUGACAAACCGGAGGAAGGUGUGGACGACGUCAAGUCAUCAUGCCCCUUACGCCUUGGGCUACACACGUACUACAAUGCUGCGGACAAAGAGUAGCGAUCUUGCGAAAGUUAGCUAAUCUCGUAAACCGUGGCUCAGUUCAGAUCGUAGGCUGCAACUCGCCUACGUGAAGGAGGAAUCGCUAGUAAUCGCAGGUCAGCAUACUGCGGUGAAUACGUUCCCGGGCCUUGUACACACCGCCCGUCACACCAUGGAAGUUGGCCAUGCCCGAAGUCGUUACUCUAACCUUUUGGAAGAGGGCGCCGAAGGUAGGGCUAAUGACUGGGGUGAAGUCGUAACAAGGUAGCCGUAGCGGAAGCUGCGGCUGGAUCACCUCCUAA